RNAcentral lists this ribosomal RNA (253 nucleotides) under uncultured bacterium. Its description in RNAcentral is "partial 16S ribosomal RNA". It matches the Rfam family "Bacterial small subunit ribosomal RNA", at positions 524 to 776 of the family's 1533-position model. The record is from RNAcentral.
GACGAACCGUGCGAACGUUGUUCGGAAUCACUGGGCUUAAAGGGCGCGUAGGCGGCCCGCCGCGUCCGGGGUGAAAUCCUCCCGCUCAACGGGGGAACGGCCUCGGAUACGGGCGGGCUGGAGGCGGGUAGGGGCACGCGGAACUGUGGGAGGAGCGGUGAAAUGCGUUGAUAUCCACAGGAACUCCGGUGGCGAAGGCGGCGUGCUGGACCCGAUCUGACGCUGAGGCGCGAAAGCCAGGGGAGCGAACGGG